This 422-nucleotide ribosomal RNA is filed under the name uncultured bacterium. Its description in RNAcentral is "bacterial SSU rRNA". It matches the Rfam family "Bacterial small subunit ribosomal RNA", at positions 355 to 774 of the family's 1533-position model. The record is from RNAcentral.
UGAGGAAUAUUGGACAAUGGAUGGAAAUCUGAUCCAGCCAUGCCGCGUGCAGGAAGACGGCCCUAUGGGUUGUAAACUGCUUUUGUAUGGGAGCAAUAAGGACUACGUGUAGUUUGAUGAGAGUACCAUACGAAUAAGCAUCGGCUAACUCCGUGCCAGCAGCCGCGGUAAUACGGAGGAUGCGAGCGUUAUCCGGAUUUAUUGGGUUUAAAGGGUGCGUAGGCGGCGAUAUAAGUCAGUGGUGAAAUAUUUCGGCUUAACCGAGAGACUGCCAUUGAUACUGUGUCGCUAGAAUAUGGUUGCUGUGAGUGGAAUGUGUGGUGUAGCGGUGAAAUGCUUAGAUAUCACACAGAAUAUCGAUUGCGAAGGCAGCUCACAAAGCCAUUAUUGACGCUGAGGCACGAAAGUGUGGGGAUCAAACA